Molecule: ribosomal RNA, 484 nt
Filed under: uncultured bacterium
Lineage: Bacteria
Description: partial 16S ribosomal RNA
Rfam family: Bacterial small subunit ribosomal RNA
Source: RNAcentral
GAUGAACGCUGGCGGCGUGCUUAACACAUGCAAGUCGAACGAGAGAAGAUCGGUGCUUGCACUGAUCCGAUCGAGUGGCGGACGGGUGAGUAACGCGUGGGUAACCUGCCUCAUACAGGGGAAUAACAGUUGGAAACGGCUGCUAAAACCGCAUAAGCGCACAGUAUCGCAUGAUACAGUGUGAAAAACCCCGGUGGUAUGAGAUGGACCCGCGUCUGAUUAGCUAGUUGGUGAGGUAACGGCCCACCAAGGCAACGAUCGGUAGCCGGCCUGGGAGGGUGACCGGCCACAUGGCGACUGAGCCACGGCCCAAACUCCUGCGGGAGGCAGCAGUGGGGAAUGUUGCACAAUGGGGGAAACCCUGAUGCAGCGACGCGGCGUGAGGUAUGAAGUAUUUCGGUAUGUAAAGCUCUAUCAGCAGGGAAGAUAAUGACGGUACCUGACUAAGAAGCACCGGCUAAAUACGUGCCAGCCGCCGCCGUAA